ACAAUUUUCAACAAUGGAUCUCUUGGCUCUCGCAUCGAUGAAGAACGCAGCGAAAUGCGAUAAGUAAUGUGAAUUGCAGAUUUCAGUGAAUCAUCGAAUCUUUGAACGCACCUUGCGCUCCUUGGUAUUCCGAGGAGCAUGCCUGUUUGAGUGUCAUUA
RNAcentral lists this ribosomal RNA (159 nucleotides) under Macrotyphula juncea. RNAcentral's name for it is "5.8S ribosomal RNA". It matches the Rfam family "5.8S ribosomal RNA". From Rfam's summary of the family: 5.8S ribosomal RNA (5.8S rRNA) is a component of the large subunit of the eukaryotic ribosome. It is transcribed by RNA polymerase I as part of the 45S precursor that also contains 18S and 28S rRNA. Functionally, it is thought that 5.8S rRNA may be involved in ribosome translocation. Lineage: Eukaryota; Fungi; Basidiomycota; Agaricomycetes; Agaricales; Phyllotopsidaceae. The record is from RNAcentral.